CCUACGGGAGGCAGCAGCAAGGAAUUUUGUGCAAUGGGCGAAAGCCUGACACAGCAACGCCGCGUGAGGGAUGACGGCCUUCGGGUUGUAAACCUCUUUUCUCAGGGAAGAAUAAUGACGGUACCUGAGGAAUAAGCUUCGGCUAACUACGUGCCAGCAGCCGCGGUAAUACGUAGGAAGCGAGCGUUAUCCGAAUUUACUGGGCGUAAAGUGGGCGUAGGUGGCCUUUCAAGUUGGAUGUGAAAUCUCCUGGCUUAACUGGGAGGGGUCAUCCAAUACUGCUAGGCUGGAGGACAGCAGGGGAAAGUGGAAUUCCCGGUGUAGUGGUGAAAUGCGUAGAUAUCGGGAGGAACACCAGUGGCGAAGGCGGCUUUCUAGGCUGUUUCUGACGCUGAGGCCCUAAAGUGUGGGGAGCGAACAGGAUUAGAUACCCUGGUAGUCCACACCUUAAACUAUGGAUACUUGGUAUAGGGAGUUUCGACCCUCUCUGUGCCGAAGCUAACGCUUUAAGUAUCCCGCCUGGGAACUACGGCCGCAAGGCUAAAACUCAAAGGAAUUGACGG
This 563-nucleotide ribosomal RNA is filed under the name uncultured bacterium. Its description in RNAcentral is "bacterial SSU rRNA". It matches the Rfam family "Bacterial small subunit ribosomal RNA", at positions 338 to 916 of the family's 1533-position model. The record is from RNAcentral.